AGCGAACGCUGGCGGUAGGCCUAACACAUGCAAGUCGAACGGCAGCACAGUAAGAGUGUGCUCUUAUGGGGGGGGGGUGGGGGACGGGAGAGGAAAAUAACGGGAUCUUCAUUUUCGGGGGGGAUAAAGUAGGGAAACCUAAGCCAAUAUCGCAGAUCACCCUAGGGGGAAAGGAGGGGAAAGUUUGACCUUUCGGGGUUGGAUGAGCCGAUGUCGGAUUAGUUAGUUGGGGGGGUAAAGGCCCACCAAGGCGACGAUCCGUAGCUGGUCUGAGAGGAUGGUCAGCCACACUGGAACUGAGACACGGUCCAGGCUCCUACGGGAGGCAGCAGUGGGGAAUAUUGGACAAUGGGCGCAAGCCUGGUCCAACCAUACCGCGUGGGUGAAGAAGGCCUUCGGGUUGUAAAGCCCUUUUGUUGGGAAAGAAAAGCAGCAGGUUAAUACCCCGCUGUUCUGACGGUACCCAAAGAAUAAGCACCGGCUAACUUCGUG
Molecule: ribosomal RNA, 492 nt
Filed under: uncultured bacterium
Lineage: Bacteria
Description: partial 16S ribosomal RNA
Rfam family: Bacterial small subunit ribosomal RNA
Source: RNAcentral